CCUACGGGCGGCAGCAGUGAGGAAUAUUGGUCAAUGGACGAGAGUCUGAACCAGCCAAGUAGCGUGAAGGAUGACUGCCCUAUGGGUUGUAAACUUCUUUUAUAUGGGAAUAAAAUGUUCCACGUGUGGGAUUUUGUAUGUACCAUAUGAAUAAGGAUCGGCUAACUCCGUGCCAGCAGCCGCGGUAAUACGGAGGAUCCGAGCGUUAUCCGGAUUUAUUGGGUUUAAAGGGAGCGUAGGUGGAUUGUAAAGUCAGUUGUGAAAGUUUGCGGCUCAACCGUAAAAUUGCAGUUGAAACUGGCAGUCUUGAGUACAGUAGAGGUGGGCGGAAGUCGUGGUGUAGCGGUGAAAUGCUUAGAUAUCACGAAGAACUCCGAUUGCGAAGGCAGUUCACUGGACUGCAACUGACACUGAGGCUCGAAAGUGUGGGUAUCAAACAGGAUUAGAUACCCGAGUAGUC
Molecule: ribosomal RNA, 460 nt
Filed under: uncultured bacterium
Lineage: Bacteria
Description: partial 16S ribosomal RNA
Rfam family: Bacterial small subunit ribosomal RNA
Source: RNAcentral